RNAcentral lists this long non-coding RNA (1141 nucleotides) under Heterocephalus glaber (naked mole-rat). Its description in RNAcentral is "lncRNA (ENSHGLG00000039439.1)". The record is from RNAcentral. Lineage: Eukaryota; Metazoa; Chordata; Mammalia; Rodentia; Bathyergidae.
AUUUUGCCCAUUUUUUAAAAAUUUUAAAUUGCAUUUUAUUAUUUAAAUUGUAUUCUGGCCAGGCAUGGUAGUGCAUGCCUGUAAUCCCAUCACUUGAGAGGCUGAGGCAGGAGGAUCACUACAUGUUCAAAGCCACCCUGGACUACAUAGCAAGAUCCUCUUUAUAAAUAACAAAUAGCAUUCUGGAUACAAGUUUUCACUUUUUAUUUAUUUAUUUAUUUCCAGUACUGGGGAUUGAACUCAGGACCUUGCACUUGCCAGGCAGGUGCAGCUCCACUGAGCUGUAUUCUGGAUACAAGCUCUUUGUCAGAUACAUGUUUUGGAAAUAUUAUUUAAUUCUAGACUUCCUUUUUAUUUUCCUACUUGUAUCUUUUGAAGAAAACAGGUAUUCAGUUUUUCUUUUAUUACUAGCACUAUGCUCUAACCAGCUGAGCUAACUGCCAGCUUUAAACCCUUCUUUUAAUGGUUUGUAUUUUUUUUUUUUGGUACCAGGGAUCAAACUCAGGACCUUGAACCUGAGAGGCAGGCGGCAGAACCACUGAGCUAAAUCCCUGGCCCUGGUUUGUAUUUUUUAUGUCCUGAGUUCAAUCCCGUACCAAAGAAAAAAAAAAUUGGGGUUCUAUUUUUUUUCCUAAUAGAUAUCCAAGUAUUCUAAGACCAUUUGUUGAACUGUUAUUACACACAGACACGCACGCACACACACGCUAAAUGCCUUGGCACCUUUUUUGAAACUUUGUUGCCCACGUCUUUCCAAUAUGAAGAUUAGAAUUGACUUACUAAAUUUUAGGGGAAAAAGAGCCUGAUGGGAUUGGGAUUGCAUUGGCUCUUUAGAUUAACUGGGGAAGAACUGACAUCCUAACAAUACAGAUUCUUCCCAACCCACGAGCAUGGUAAAGUAUAUCUCUCCACUUAUUCGCUUUUAAUGUUUUUUAGCUUUCAUUGUGCAUAUCUUGCAAAUAUUUUGUUAAACUUACCCUAGGUAUUUUUUUCUGAUUUUUUAGCACUAUUGAAAAUAUUUUAAAAUUUUAAAUGCAAUUUUUUUUGUUGUUUUCAUUUUUGUUUUUGGUACCAGGGAUUGAACUUGGGACCUUCUGCUUUUGAGGCAGGUGGCGGAACCACUGAGCUAAAUCCCCAGCCCGCA